GCUCCCGUAGCUCAGUUGGU
Molecule: non-coding RNA, 20 nt
Filed under: Arabidopsis thaliana (thale cress)
Lineage: Eukaryota; Viridiplantae; Streptophyta; Magnoliopsida; Brassicales; Brassicaceae
Source: RNAcentral